Molecule: ribosomal RNA, 914 nt
Filed under: uncultured marine archaeon
Lineage: Archaea
Description: bacterial SSU rRNA
Rfam family: Archaeal small subunit ribosomal RNA
Source: RNAcentral
UUCCGGUUGAUCCUGCCGGAGGCUACCGCUAUUGGAGUUCGAUUAAGCCAUGCGAGUCGCGAGUCUUAGGGACUCGGCGUACCGCUCAGUAACACGUGGGUAACCUGCCCUAUGCUGGGGGAUAACCUCGGGAAACUGAGAAUAAUACCCCAUAGUUCACCACGCCUGGAACGGUGGGUGGACCAAAGCUCCGGCGGCAUAGGAUGGGCCUGCGGCGUAUCAGGUUGUAGGGGGUGUAAUGUACCCUCUAGCCAUCUACGCGUACGGGUGUUGGGAGACAUAGCCCGGAGAUGGAUUCUGAGACACGAAUCCAGACCCUACGGGGUGCAGCAGGCGCGAAAACUUGGCAAUGCGAGCAAUCGUGACCAGGGAACUCCAAGUGCAUCGGGUAAGACCGAUGCUUUUCUAGACUCUUCAAAGGUCUUGGAAUAAGGGGUGGGUAAGGACGGUGCCAGCCGCCGCGGUAAUACCGGCGCCCCAAGUGGUAGUCGCUUUUAUUGGGCCUAAAACGUCCGUAGCCGGUUUGGUACAUUCGUGGGUAAAUCAAGGCGCUCAACGUCUUGAAUUCUGCGAGCACGGCCAGACUUGGGACCGGGUGAGGUGUGGGGUACUCUCAGGGUAGGGGUAAAAUCCUGUCAUCCUGAGAGGACCACCUGUUGCGAAGGCGCCACACUAGAACGGAUCCGACGGUCAGGGACGAAGCCUAGGGGCACGAACCGGAUUAGAUACCCGGGUAGUCCUAGGUGUAAACGCUGUGGACUUGAUGUUGGGAGUGCUCCGAGCACCCUCAGUGUCGAAGCGAAGGUGAUAAGUCCACUGCCUGGGGAGUACGGUCGCAAGGCUGAAACUUAAAGGAAUUGGCGGGGGAGCACUGCAACCUGAGGAUUGUGCGGUUUAAUUGGAGUCAACGCCGG